This is a non-coding RNA of Bemisia tabaci, 788 nucleotides long. Lineage: Eukaryota; Metazoa; Arthropoda; Insecta; Hemiptera; Aleyrodidae. The record is from RefSeq and is a predicted model, not a curated record.
GAGAGGGCAAUAACAAUGACACUUUUUUUCCAUACACUACAUAGUUGGACUACUUUUAGGGGGAAAAAAUUGUAACUACGGUUCAUGAAUGGAAGAAAUGUGUGUGCUGAAGAUAGCCAGCUUUCCCAUCUUUUACUUAAAAGAUAACGUGUCAUUUAAAGUAGGAGCUGCUACAAUGUGCAAAUCACCGGUCCUUUUUCUCCGAGCAGGUGACACAGUUGUCGUCAUAAGAGACGGGAUGAUGGCUAACGGAGCCGUGUUGGCUGAAGUGGUAGUUGUGGGGGCAACAGUGCUGGUGGUUGUUAAUCUUGAUGGGAACAUGUACUCCAGACCUAAACACUGACUGCACGUUGAUUUGUUUGAGCUCGAGUUGAUAGUUUCACCAUCGCCCACGAACACAUCACUAUUCACAGAGUCGCUGGGGAGAAAAAUAUUUGAAAAACAAUAAGUAUUUCGGAAAACAUUUGCUGGAUAAAGAGAGGCAGUGAAUAAGAAAUGAAUUUCAAGACUUAGACUUGUCACAUUUUGGUGUCUGAUAUAUCCUAUCUCAAUCUUUUUGUAGCAAGGUAUGAUCACUAUGGUGAUUGAGACAACACCAAAUUUUCCCAAUGUCUUGUUAAACUUUUUUACUUACAGACCUUAAAAGAGGUUUGCAGACAACUCGUGUUGUGACACUUUCUAAAAUCUUGGUAUUAUCAGGUGGGAGGGAUUUCUUAUUAUCUUACAAUUCGGUUUCCUUACACACACCGAUUCUGGAGUAAUAAUAAAAUGAGUUUAAAGAUAUCAAA